RNAcentral lists this unclassified non-coding RNA (329 nucleotides) under soil metagenome. Its description in RNAcentral is "partial contains 5.8S ribosomal RNA, internal transcribed spacer 2, and large subunit ribosomal RNA". The stretch from base 1 to 120 matches the Rfam family "5.8S ribosomal RNA", at positions 35 to 154 of the family's 154-position model. The record is from RNAcentral.
GAUGAAGAACGUAGCGAAAUGCGAUAAGUAGUGUGAAUUGCAGAAUUCAGUGAAUCAUCGAAUCUUUGAACGCACAUUGCGCCCCUUGGUAUUCCAUGGGGCAUGCCUGUUCGAGCGUCAUUAUAACCCCUCAAGCUCAGCUUGGUGUUGGGGCCUGCUGCACUGGCAGCCCUUAAAAUCAGUGGCGGCGCCAUCUGGCUCUAAGCGUAGUAAUUCUUCUCGCUAUGGAGUCCUGGUGGAUGCUUGCCAUCAACCCCCAAUUUUUCUAUGGUUGACCUCGGAUCAGGUAGGGAUACCCGCUGAACUUAAGCAUAUCAAUAAGCGGAGGA